UUUCCUCAGUCUGCCCAGUAAAAGCUGUUCAACAAUAUUCUGUUAUUUCCCCCCACAUACCUUGGUGUGGAGCCUGGUCAAACGAGUGUCCUUGGCAGAGCUUUCCUGGGGAAUAUCCUCUGAGCAUCCCCUCACAAAUAUUUCAGUAGUGGAGAAACUUUUCUACACCCUCUUAGCUGAGAGGGUAAAUUGUGCUCUGGAUCACUGCUCACUGUUCAGCCCUAUGUUUUAAAAAAUACUGCAAGGAAAUGCACACAUGUACUGAUUUGGUUUUGUAUCAGUCACGUGUAUCUGUGAAAAAGGGAAUGUGUGUUCAUGCAUGAUGUAUCUUUCUAUUAUCUUUCUGGAUGUUGAUUAAUCUUAAAUGAAUUUACCUAUGAUGAAAAAUUGUCUAAUGCUUUGCAACUUAAUUUUGCUUUCCUACAAAACAUCAGUAUAACCUGUUAAAGUACUGAGAAAAUGCAAUUGAAACAUUUUACCCAUGUCAUAUUUCUUCAUUUGGCUAAAUGGUAACUUGCUCAUUUCAGAUAAUUAUUUUAUAGCCUAAUCUUCUGUGAUAAAACUAAUAAACUCUCAGGUAUCUAAUGCCACAUGAAAAUAGUUUCAUAUCAAAUCCUGAUUCAAUGAUAUAAAUGUUGGUUAGUAAUGUCACUAUGAUCCCCAAUGGAAACUGUGAGAACUAUUUUGUAAACUCCCAGUUAAUACUUGUAAUGAAAGCGUUAGGUUAAGAGUAAACCCAUUCUAAUUUUGCAUUAAAUGUGGCAGAAAAUCACCCCCCUGUCAUUCCAGCUGCUCCUCAGGUAUCAGAGGGGCUGGCAGAGCUGGGUUUGGCUUCUGAGCUGGGGCCAAUUCAGCAGCAGACAUGCAGAGCUGGUGUGACACUGGAAGGAGAUGACCUUUGGGGUUCCUUCCAACCCAGCCCACGCCGUGGUUCUGUGCUGGUGGUGAGUACCCUGUGUGCAGAAGGGUGUGUGAGCCCGUGAAAUAUGAACCAUACAUGUGGGGGGAUAGAAGAUAAGAAAAUAAAGAUAGUGCAGAGAGUAAUCUCAGCCCCAAGGAGUUGCAGCUGGGCCAAUUACCAAAGAUUAGGAGCAGGCCUGACUUUAACAGGCCACAGCUGUGACCAGUGAGAAGAAGAGUGCUAUAAAAGAGUGGGCUGGCAGGUUGAGAAGGAAUUGGAGUCAGUUGGCUGCUUGGUGAGGAAGAGAGAGUCAGUGCUCUGAGGAGCUGCCCACGAGAAGAUCCCAAGAAGCUGACUGUGUGCGACAUUCCCAGCUCCUGAGCAGCAGAAGGGAGCAGAACUGAAAUGAGGGGCUUUUUGGUGUCAUUGCAACAGUGACUGUGUCCCAUUGAACAGAGCUUUAUAUCCCGGAUACAGGAGAUUUUCUCUCCAGCAUGCAGAGUGAGAUACAAACACAGUGUCUGAGAGACGCAGAGUCACAGAACACCCUGGGUGGGAAGGGACCCACAAGGAUCAUGGACCUGAACUCCUGUCCCUGCACAGGACACCCCAAUAAUCCCAGCAUGUGUCUGAAACAUUGCCCAAAAGCUUCUGGAACUGUGGCAGGUGUGGGACCAUUGCCUGACCACCAUCUGGGUGAGGAACC
This is a long non-coding RNA of Passer montanus (Eurasian tree sparrow), 1607 nucleotides long. RefSeq lists it as uncharacterized. The record is from RefSeq and is a predicted model, not a curated record. Lineage: Eukaryota; Metazoa; Chordata; Aves; Passeriformes; Passeridae. The transcript is spliced from 3 exons.